Molecule: long non-coding RNA, 809 nt
Organism: Lepidothrix coronata (blue-crowned manakin)
Lineage: Eukaryota; Metazoa; Chordata; Aves; Passeriformes; Pipridae
Exons: 3
Source: RefSeq, a predicted model, not a curated record
AUUUUUCAAGAAACCAAGUCCAAAGCUGAGUUUAUAGCAGAGCUAAAUUCAGCUGUUUGCAGUGGGCAGAACUGUGCAGAAAUCAGGAAGUUCUGAGUGUUGUUGAAGCAGAAACUCUUGUUCAAACCACAGAAUCUAAAGGGAAAUUAAAGGGAGCCUGGGGCUUUCAACAAGAAAUUUUUCUUUUUACAUAAUGAGAGUUUCUCAUAGCAAUGCAGAAGUUUCAGCAGGGAGAUGACACCUCACCAGCAGGACCCAGAGCACUGGGAAUGCCGGGGAUGCUCAGGAGACUCUUGAUAAAACAAUGACCACAGAACGCUCCUGUAACUCUUCAGACCGUGUUUACAGCCAAGAUGUUAAGAUGGCAACAUGGGAUAAUUUGAAGAUGAUCUGUACUAACAACAAAGAACUUCAAGUUUCAAACCUCCUUAAAAAAGUGGACUCGAUUUCCCCCCAAAAAAUGUGUGUACAUUCCUUAGUCAAGUUAAUAUAAAGUGUGAUAAUCAAUCCUCUCACCAAACAAUAGUUGCUGUUCUGUCAUUUGUCUUACUGUACACAGGAACUCAUGCAAAACUGAAACAGCAAUGUGGGUCGGUUGUUAAGGAGCUCGUAGAUCUAAAAUUUGAGCUCAGGCCACAAGAUCACAUGUACAGCAACAGAACCGAUUCUUUGAUGCAUUGUGAUCAACAAGUUAAAAAUCUGCUUAGGAGAGAUCAUUAAAUCCCACAGAAUACAUUGAAUCGCUUUUUGACUCCCAUUUAGUCAUUAUAAUUUUUAUUAAUAACUUAUUUUCCUUUGAAAACAGGAAU